Molecule: ribosomal RNA, 274 nt
Filed under: uncultured bacterium
Lineage: Bacteria
Description: partial 16S ribosomal RNA
Rfam family: Bacterial small subunit ribosomal RNA
Source: RNAcentral
CUACGAAGGGGGCUAGCGUUGUUCGGAAUCACUGGGCGUAAAGCGCGCGUAGGUGGAUCAAUUAGUUGAGGGUGAAAUCCCGGGGCUCAACCUCGGAACUGCCUUCAAUACUGUUGAUCUUGAGACCGAGAGAGGUGAGUGGAAUUCCUAGUGUAGAGGUGAAAUUCGUAGAUAUUAGGAAGAACACCAGUGGCGAAGGCGGCUCACUGGCUCGGUACUGACGCUGAGGUGCGAAAGCGUGGGGAGCGAACAGGAGUAGAAACCCCAGUAGUCC